UGCAAGUCGAACGGUGAAGCCCAGCUUGCUGGGUGGAUCAGUGGCGAACGGGUGAGUAACACGUGAGCAACCUGCCCCUGACUCUGGGAUAAGCGCUGGAAACGGCGUCUAAUACUGGAUACGAGUAGCGACCGCAUGGUCAGUUACUGGAAAGAUUUAUUGGUUGGGGAUGGGCUCGCGGCCUAUCAGCUUGUUGGUGAGGUAAUGGCUCACCAAGGCGUCGACGGGUAGCCGGCCUGAGAGGGUGACCGGCCACACUGGGACUGAGACACGGCCCAGACUCCUACGGGAGGCAGCAGUGGGGAAUAUUGCACAAUGGGCGCAAGCCUGAUGCAGCAACGCCGCGUGAGGGAUGACGGCCUUCGGGUUGUAAACCUCUUUUAGCAGGGAAUAAGCGAAAGUGACGGUUCCUGCAGAAAAAGCGCCGGCUAACUACGUGCCAGCAGCCGCGGUAAUACGUAGGGCGCACGCGUUAUCCGGAAUUAUUGGGCGUAAAGAGCUCGUAGGCGUUUUGUCGCGUCUGCUGUGAAAAUCCGGAGGCUCAAUCUCCGGCCUGCAGGUGGGGUACGGGGCAGGACUAGAGUGCGGUAGGGGGAGAAUUGGAAUUCCUGGUGUAGCGGUGGAAUGCGCAGAUAUCAGGAGGAACACCGAUGGCGAAGGCAGAUCUCUGGGCCGUAACUGACGCUGAGGAGCGAAAGGGUGGGGAGCAAACAGGCUUAGAUACCCUGGUAGUCCACCCCGUAAACGUUGGGAACUAGUUGUGGGGUCCAUUCCACGGAUUCCGUGACGCAGCUAACGCAUUAAGUUCCCCGCCUGGGGAGUACGGCCGCAAGGCUAAAACUCAAAGGAAUUGACGGGGACCCGCACAAGCGGCGGAGCAUGCGGAUUAAUUCGAUGCAACGCGAAGAACCUUACCAAGGCUUGACAUAUACGAGAACGGGCCAGAAAUGGUCAACUCUUUGGACACUCGUAAACAGGUGGUGCAUGGUUGUCGUCAGCUCGUGUCGUGAGAUGUUGGGUUAAGUCCCGCAACGAGCGCAACCCUCGUUCUAUGUUGCCAGCACGUAAUGGUGGGAACUCAUGGGAUACUGCCGGGGUCAACUCGGAGGAAGGUGGGGAUGACGUCAAAUCAUCAUGCCCCUUAUGUCUUGGGCUUCACGCAUGCUACAAUGGCCGGUACAAAGGGCUGCAAUACCGCGAGGUGGAGCGAAUCCCAAAAAGCCGGUCCCAGUUCGGAUUGAGGUCUGCAACUCGACCUCAUGAAGUCGGAGUCGCUAGUAAUCGCAGAUCAGCAACGCUGCGGUGAAUACGUUCCCGGGUCUUGUACACACCGCCCGUCAAGUCAUGAAAGUCGGUAACACCUGAAGCCGGUGGCCUAACCCUUGUGGAGGAGCCGUCGA
This 1400-nucleotide ribosomal RNA is filed under the name Microbacterium sp. RNAcentral describes it as "bacterial SSU rRNA". It matches the Rfam family "Bacterial small subunit ribosomal RNA". The record is from RNAcentral. Lineage: Bacteria; Bacillati; Actinomycetota; Actinomycetes; Micrococcales; Microbacteriaceae.